UUGACAGAGGGCUGCUCACAGAAGAGGGCAGGAGUAACCAAGGAGAACCAAAUUCUAGCCGGUGGGAGAGGUGGGGGAUUGCAAAAGUCCUUGGAGCCCGGCCAGGACAUGGGUUAGAGGUUAGAAGUGCCAUGGGUGCUCUUGUUCUGACAGCAGAGUGACGCCUGAGGUGUCAUGCCCUCCUGCAGGGUUCACAGCUUCCCGGAAUCUGAGCAGCAGCUGAGCAGCUGGGUACGCAAACAUCUCCCAUCCAGCCCCAUGAGUUCCCAGGCCCGUCCCCCUUUGCCAUCUCGCCACAUUCCAACUACACAGGGAGUUGCUGCUGAUCUCUCAGCUGGAUGUCACCCACCCCACACAGGGGACUGAGGGAAAACACCUAAGGCACCAAAGGAGGUUCAGCUUCCAUACCUGCUUUUCUCUUCCUUCGUGGGAGUUACAUGCAGAAGAAUCAUAUGAGAGGGCCACAAGAGAGAGGGAUAAAGAGCCAUCCCUUUGGGAAGAGACCUAGUCGGGUCCCCGUCUGACCCAGAAGGCUCGAAGAAUGGAUGCACCCAAAUCCAACAGAGAGGAGCAUGACCUCCACUGGAAAACACACAUGCUGGAAAAGAAAAAGCUCAUGUCCCAGCUUUGUGCUUUGAGUCCUGUUCAAUAAAU
Long non-coding RNA from Pseudopodoces humilis (Tibetan ground-tit), 654 nucleotides. RefSeq lists it as uncharacterized. Lineage: Eukaryota; Metazoa; Chordata; Aves; Passeriformes; Paridae. The record is from RefSeq and is a predicted model, not a curated record.